This 428-nucleotide ribosomal RNA is filed under the name uncultured bacterium. RNAcentral's name for it is "partial 16S ribosomal RNA". It matches the Rfam family "Bacterial small subunit ribosomal RNA", at positions 354 to 796 of the family's 1533-position model. The record is from RNAcentral.
GCAGGGAAUAUUGGACAAUGGGGGCAACCCUGAUCCAGUGACGCCGCGUGAGUGAUGAAGGCCUUCGGGUCGUUAAGCUCUGUUGCAGGGGAAGAACACAAUGAUGGUACCCUUCUAGAAAGGAUCGGCUAACUUCGUGCCAGCAGCCGCGGUAAGACGAGGGAUCCUAGCGUUGUUCGGAAGUAUUGGGCGUAACGCGGGUGCAGGUGUCUUGGUAAGUGAGCUGUGAAAGCCUGGGGCUUAACCCCAGAAGUGCAUUUGAUACUGCUGAGCUUGAGUGCUGGAGAGGCUAUUAGAAUUCCUGGUGUAGUGGUGAAAAACGUAGAUAUCAGGAGGAAUACCGGAGGCGAAGGCGGGUAGCUGGCCAGACACUGACACUCAGACCCGAAAGCGUGGGGAUCAAACAGGAUUAGAUACCCUUGUAGUCC